This 423-nucleotide ribosomal RNA is filed under the name uncultured euryarchaeote. RNAcentral's name for it is "bacterial SSU rRNA". It matches the Rfam family "Archaeal small subunit ribosomal RNA", at positions 453 to 874 of the family's 1478-position model. Lineage: Archaea; Methanobacteriati; Methanobacteriota. The record is from RNAcentral.
CGGUGCCAGCCGCCCCGGUAACACCGGCGGCUCGAGUGGUAACCGUUAUUAUUGGGUCUAAAGGGUCUGUAGCCGGCCGGAUAAGUCUCUUGAGAAAUCUGGCAGCUUAACUGUCAGGCUUUCAGGAGAUACUGUCUGGCUCGAGGCCGGGAGAGGUGAGAGGUACUUCAGGGGUAGGGGUGAAAUCUUGUAAUCCUUGAAGGACCACCAGUGGCGAAGGCGUCUCACCAGAACGGACCUGACGGCAAGGGACGAAAGCUAGGGGCACGAACCGGAUUAGAUCCCCGGGUAGUCCUAGCCGUAAACGAUACUCGCUAGGUGUCGGCCACGGUGCGACCGUUGUCGGUGCCGUAGGGAAGCCGUGAACCGAGCCACCUGGAAAGUCCGGCCCGCAAGGCUGAAAUUUAAAGGCAUUGGUCGGGU